Molecule: ribosomal RNA, 468 nt
Filed under: uncultured bacterium
Lineage: Bacteria
Description: partial 16S ribosomal RNA
Rfam family: Bacterial small subunit ribosomal RNA
Source: RNAcentral
GACGAACGCUGGCGGCGUGCUUAACACGUGCAAGUCGAACGGAAAGGCCCUGCUUUUGUGGGGUGCUCGAGUGGCGAACGUGUGAGUAACACGUGCGUAACCUGCCCUUGACUUUGGGAUAACUUCAGGAAACUGGGGCUAAUACCGGAUAGGAGCUCCUGCUGCAUGGUGGGGGUUGGAAAGUUUCGGCGGUUGGGGAUGGACUCGCGGCUUAUCAGCUUGUUGGUGGGGUCGUGGCUUACCAAGGCUUUGACGGGUAGCCGGCCUGAGAGGGUGACCGGCCACAUUGGGACUGAGAUACGGCCCAGACUCCUACGGGAGGCAGCAGUGGGGAAUAUUGCACAAUGGGCGGAAGCCUGAUGCAGCAACGCCGCGUGCGGGAUGACGGCCUUCGGGUUGUAAACCGCUUUCGCCUGUGACGAAGCGUGAGUGACGGUAAUGGGUAAAGAAGCACCGGCUAACUACGUG